CACACUGACAAUCAACAAAAACAAAAACAAAAAACGCAAAAUGGAAUGUGAGACCUGCCCCAAGGGAAAUCAGAUAAACUGCUGAAGAAGUUCAGAUUAGGGGCUGUUCUCUUUCACCUGGAAAUGGUGUUCUCUUUCACCUGAAAAGUUCAGGAAAUAGACCCUACGGGCUGGAGCCCAAAUCUGAAAAACUUUCUUCAUUCUUCCAACAGUAGCAAUUUUUCCUGGCUCCACUUUACAGAAAUGAAAACCAGGACAGAGACGUGAGGAAUUAUUUGCCCUCUGAUCAUCCAGGUGAUUAGCAACACAGCCAGAUAGAGAACUAAAAGCUGAUGAUUGAAAAUUUCCCCCAGAAACCGGUGGUGAAAGCACAUAUCACUAGGAAGCUCAUCUUAGAAGACGAAAUCCACAGAGCUGUUCCCUUUGUCUCCCUUCUUAGGUCAAUCCCAAAGACACACCAACCAAGUCAAAGAAGGAUUUUUUUUUUUUUAAAGUCAUAAGCAAGCUGGAAUCAUAUACAAAUAUCUGGCCUAAAGUAAGCCAAGGUCUCUGCAGUGUCCCAUCCUCCUCCUGGGGAGGCCAUUCUUUGUAUGAAGUCUUCAGCCCCAUUACAAGUGAGUUGCAGGGGACCUCAUGUACGGGGAACAAGAGCUAGCCCACAAAUGAAAACCCAGGAAAGCCCUCUGCUUUUGCACAGUGAACGAACGUGGCCACAGGCUUCUCAGCAUUGAAUUUGAACGAGCCAAUGGUAGCCCAAUCACUGAAACAGGAAGCCAGAUAAACAGCAUGUUAUCAAGGGGGGAUCCAGCUCUUCCCUUAAGCCGGCGCCAGCUGCGCCCUGUGACUAUCCUAACAAAGUCCCAUUGACUCACCAGCUGAUUUUCCUGUGUUCGGCUCCGGGGGACAAGGAACCCUCUCUGCCGGGUGGACGUCACCCCUACACACCGCCCCCGCCACCCGCCACCCGUGUCCUCUCCAGUUCCUGCCUCCCCUCUGCCCGCUGCAGACUUGGCUGCUUCUUUAUCCUAUGACCAGCUUUUAUCGGCUCUGAGGAUUAGCAGGGACCAGAGCCCAAGCCUCGGGAGCGCUCAGGGACUUGGGAGUGGGACGAGGGGGAAGAAGAGGAGAAAGGAAACAACAGUACCUGAGGAGAGUGAAUGGGACGAAGGCCCUCAGCCAGAACCUACUGCAACCUCUCUGAAGCAGUGCAAGCCCCCUGCCUCCUGGCCUGGGUACUUCCAGAGUCUGCAGGAAGAAGGCAGAAGGAAGUCAGAUGGCCUGAGCUUUGAAGCAGGCUUUGAGCUACAUGGGAGAAAGGGAGUAGCUGUGGCUCAGGACCCAGCAGAUUCCCCUGCUCCAGCCAACAAAUAUGAGUACUGAUUUAUUCCCAGGGCCAUGGGGUUGCAAGUUGGAGGGCUGAUGGAUAGAAAGCAAAACUGCCUACUCCCUGGGAGGUCUCAGAGCUCUUUGCCAGCAAAGUCAGUGUGAGCAGAGUCAGGAUGAGAGCCCUUGAGUCCUCCCUGAACGCCCUCACCCAUUUAGUCAGGCCACAGUGACUUUGAAUAUGGAGAGAUGAGACACCCGACAGUGGACAAGCAGUGACAUUCAAGAAGUUCCCAAUGGAUCAGGGAAAAAGAUUUGUUGUAUGAUUUUUGUCCGUGAAGGGAGUGAAUUGCCUUUUGGUGAGGGAUAAGGGGGUGGACUGCAGAGUGACACCCUUACCCUCUGUAUAAAGACUAGAAGUGUGGGCUCUUAAGGCAGACUACAUGGGUUCAAAUCCUGGCUCAAUGAUUUUUUAGCCAUGGGAGCUUAAUGAACUCUUUAACUUGUAGCUACAUUUCUUCAUCUGUAAAAUGGGAUAAUAAUGGUUCCUAGCUCCUAAGAGUGUUGGGAGGAUUAAAUGAGAUAGUAUAGGUGAUACACUUAGAAUAGUGCCUGGCACAUAGUAAAUACUCAGUAAACAUUAGCUGUUACUUUGAUCUGGGAGUUCUCUAACUCUGUGCCCAAUUUGGCAUUCAAUGAUGUGCUGGCUAGAAUUCUUUUGUGCUCUUCCCAGUCCUGCAAAGGGGAGCCUAGUCCUUUAAGAAGAAGCACUGUCCUUUCUUGAGAGCUCAUAAGGCGGGACCCCAGAGACCAAGGACCACACAGUAGGCAUGCAAAUAACUAUCAGAAGGUGAAAUGACUCCUUGACCCAUUGUGAAGCUGGAUGCAUAGCUCCAUCCACAUUGGUAAUGCUGGCAUGAUGUCAUUCCUUGGGUGCUACCCAGAAUGGAAAAGAAAGCCAAAGCUAUAAUUUUGUAAGAGUUAGAUCUCUUCCAUCACUACAUAGGAUCAAUAUUUCUCUCCCACUUAUGAGUGGAUGCUCAUACAAGUUCUCCCU
RNAcentral lists this long non-coding RNA (2380 nucleotides) under Piliocolobus tephrosceles (Ugandan red Colobus). Its description in RNAcentral is "lncRNA (ENSPTEG00000026991.1)". Lineage: Eukaryota; Metazoa; Chordata; Mammalia; Primates; Cercopithecidae. The record is from RNAcentral.